RNAcentral lists this ribosomal RNA (402 nucleotides) under uncultured bacterium. RNAcentral describes it as "bacterial SSU rRNA". It matches the Rfam family "Bacterial small subunit ribosomal RNA", at positions 355 to 774 of the family's 1533-position model. The record is from RNAcentral.
UGGGGAAUAUUGGACAAUGGGGGAAACCCUGAUCCAGCAAUGCCGCGUGAGUGAAGAAGGCCUUAGGGUUGUAAAGCUCUUUCGCCCGCGAAGAUAAUGACGGUAGCGGGAGAAGAAGCCCCGGCUAACUCCGUGCCAGCAGCCGCGGUAAUACGGAGGGGGCUAGCGUUGUUCGGAAUUACUGGGCGUAAAGCGUACGUAGGCGGAUGCGCAAGUUGGGGGUGAAAUCCCGGGGCUUAACCUCGGAAUUGCUCUCAAAACUGCACGUCUUGAGACCGAGAGAGGUAAGGGGAAUUCCUAGUGUAGAGGUGAAAUUCGUAGAUAUUAGGAAGAACACCAGUGGCGAAGGCGCCUUACUGGCUCGGUACUGACGCUGAGGUACGAAAGCGUGGGGAGCAAACA